AUUGAACGCUGGCGGCAUGCCUUACAUAUGCAAGUCGAACGGCAGCACGGGAGCAAUCCUGGUGGCGAGUGGCGAACGGGUGAGUAAUAUAUCGGAACGUGCCCAGUCGUGGGGAUAACGUAGCGAAAGCUACGCUAAUACCGCAUACUAUCUAUGGAUGAAAGCGGGGGAUCGCAAGACCUCGCGCGAUUGGAGCGGCCGAUAUCAGAUUAGGUAGUUGGUGAGGUAAAGGCUCACCAAGCCGACGAUCUGUAGCU
RNAcentral lists this ribosomal RNA (257 nucleotides) under uncultured bacterium. Its description in RNAcentral is "partial 16S ribosomal RNA". It matches the Rfam family "Bacterial small subunit ribosomal RNA", at positions 30 to 288 of the family's 1533-position model. The record is from RNAcentral.